UGGUUCUGGCAUCGAUGAAGAACGCAGCGAAAUGCGAUACGUAAUGUGAAUUGCAGAAUUCAGUGAAUCAUCGAAUCUUUGAACGCACAUUGCGCCCACCAGUAUUCUGGUGGGCAUGCCUGUUCGAGCGUCAUUUCAACCCUUAAGCCCCAGUUGCUUAGCGUUGGGAGCCUGCCGGGACUCUCCCGGCAGCUCCCCAAAGUUAGUGGCGGAGCACGGCUUGACGCUCCAGACGUAGUAAUCUUUACACAUCGUCUGUAGUUUGAGCGAAGUCCCCAGCCGUAAAACCCCCCCCCCAAAUCUGUAUAGGUUGACCUCGGAUCAGGUAGGAAUACCCGCUGA
This 342-nucleotide unclassified non-coding RNA is filed under the name uncultured fungus. RNAcentral's name for it is "partial contains 5.8S ribosomal RNA and internal transcribed spacer 2". The stretch from base 1 to 133 matches the Rfam family "5.8S ribosomal RNA", at positions 22 to 154 of the family's 154-position model. The record is from RNAcentral. Lineage: Eukaryota; Fungi.